Molecule: ribosomal RNA, 464 nt
Filed under: uncultured bacterium
Lineage: Bacteria
Description: partial 16S ribosomal RNA
Rfam family: Bacterial small subunit ribosomal RNA
Source: RNAcentral
CUACGGGGGGCUGCAGUGAGGAAUUUUGCGCAAUGGGGGAAACCCUGACGCAGCAACGCCGCGUGAGCGAAGAAGGCCUUCGGGUCGUAAAGCUCUGUCAAGUGGGAAAAAGGUCUUUCGAUUAAUACUCGAUAGGCUUGAUGGUACCACUGGAGGAAGCACCGGCUAACUCCGUGCCAGCAGCCGCGGUAAUACGGAGGGUGCAAGCGUUGUUCGGAAUUACUGGGCGUAAAGGGCGUGCAGGCGGUUUGGCAAGUCAGAUGUGAAAGCCCUGGGCUUAACCCAGGAAGUGCAUUUGAAACUGGCUUUCUUGAGUAUGGGAGAGGGGAGUGGAAUUCCUGGUGUAGAGGUGAAAUUCGUAGAUAUCAGGAGGAACACCCGUGGCGAAGGCGACUCUCUGGACCAAUACUGACGCUGAGACGCGAAAGCGUGGGGAGCAAACAGGAUUAGAUACCCCCGUAGUC